RNAcentral lists this ribosomal RNA (253 nucleotides) under uncultured Acidobacteriota bacterium. RNAcentral describes it as "uncultured Acidobacteria bacterium partial 16S ribosomal RNA". It matches the Rfam family "Bacterial small subunit ribosomal RNA", at positions 524 to 776 of the family's 1533-position model. Lineage: Bacteria; Pseudomonadati; Acidobacteriota. The record is from RNAcentral.
UACGGAGGUGGCAAGCGUUGUUCGGAAUUACUGGGCGUAAAGGGCGCGUAGGCGGCUGAACAAGUCGGAUGUGAAAGCCCCGGGCUCAACUCGGGAAUUGCAUCCGAAACUGUUCAGCUUGAGUUCUGGAGGGGGUAGUGGAAUUCCCAGUGUAGCGGUGAAAUGCGUAGAUAUUGGGAGGAACACCUGCGGCGAAGGCGGCUACCUGGACAGAAACUGACGCUGAGGCGCGAAAGCUAGGGGAGCGAACGGG